RNAcentral lists this ribosomal RNA (497 nucleotides) under uncultured bacterium. RNAcentral's name for it is "partial 16S ribosomal RNA". It matches the Rfam family "Bacterial small subunit ribosomal RNA", at positions 28 to 507 of the family's 1533-position model. The record is from RNAcentral.
GAUGAACGCUGGCGGCGUGCCUAAUACAUGCAAGUCGAGCGAACAGACGAGGAGCUUGCUCCUCUGACGUUAGCGGCGGACGGGUGAGUAACACGUGGAUAACCUACCUAUAAGACUGGGAUAACUUUGGGAAACCGGAGCUAAUACCGGAUAAUAUAUUGAACCGCAUGGUUCAAUAGUGAAAGACGGUUUUGCUGUCACUUAUAGAUGGAUCCGCGCCGCAUUAGCUAGUUGGUAAGGUAACGGCUUACCAAGGCAACGAUGCGUAGCCGACCUGAGAGGGUGAUCCGCCACACUGGAACUGAGACACGGUCCAGACUCCUACGGGAGGCAGCAGUAGGGAAUCUUCCGCAAUGGGCGAAAGCUUGACGGAGCAACGCCGCGUGAGUGAUGAAGGUCUUCGGAUCGUAAAACUCUGUUAUUAGGGAAGAACAAAUGUGUAAGUAACUAUGCACGUCUUGACGGUACCUAAUCAGAAAGCCACGGCUAACUACGUG